RNAcentral lists this ribosomal RNA (465 nucleotides) under uncultured Syntrophobacteraceae bacterium. RNAcentral describes it as "partial 16S ribosomal RNA". It matches the Rfam family "Bacterial small subunit ribosomal RNA", at positions 338 to 794 of the family's 1533-position model. Lineage: Bacteria; Pseudomonadati; Thermodesulfobacteriota; Syntrophobacteria; Syntrophobacterales; Syntrophobacteraceae. The record is from RNAcentral.
CCUACGGGAGGCAGCAGUGGGGAAUCUUGGGCAAUGGGCGCAAGCCUGACCCAGCGACGCCGCGUGGGUGAUGAAGGCCUUCGGGUCGUAAAGCCUUGUCAGGAGGAACGAAGAGCGCGGGGGCGAAGAGCCCCGGCGUGUGACGGUACCUCUGAAGGAAGCACCGGCCAACUCCGUGCCAGCAGCCGCGGUAAGACGGAGGGUGCAAGCGUUGCUCGGACUCAUUGGGCGUAAAGGGUGCGUAGGCGGCCUGGUCAGUCUGCUGUGAAAGCCCCGGGCUCAGCCCGGGAAGGGCGGCGGAUACUGCCAGGCUAGAGUGCCGAAGGGGAGAGUGGAAUUCCUGGUGUAGCGGUGAAAUGCGUAGAGAUCAGGAGGAAUACCGGUGGCGAAAGCGACUCUCUGGACGGCAACUGACGCUGAGGCACGAAAGCGUGGGGAGCAAACAGGAUUAGAUACCCUAGUAGU